RNAcentral lists this ribosomal RNA (116 nucleotides) under Escherichia coli. RNAcentral's name for it is "partial 23S ribosomal RNA". It matches the Rfam family "Bacterial large subunit ribosomal RNA", at positions 2812 to 2925 of the family's 2925-position model. The record is from RNAcentral. Lineage: Bacteria; Pseudomonadati; Pseudomonadota; Gammaproteobacteria; Enterobacterales; Enterobacteriaceae.
UCCCAUUUCUUCGGAAAGUAAGAUCCCUGAAAGAUGAUCAGGUAGAUAGGUUUGGAGUGGAAGUGUAGCGAUACAUGGAGCGGACAAAUACUAAUCGAUCGAGGACUUAACCAAAA